Mustela putorius furo (domestic ferret) is the source of this 107-nucleotide small nuclear RNA. The record is from Ensembl. NCBI's taxonomy places the organism in Eukaryota, Metazoa, Chordata, Mammalia, Carnivora, Mustelidae.
GUGCUCUCUUUGGCAGCACAUACACUAAAAUUAGGACAACACAGAGAAGAUUAGCAUGGCUCCUGUGUGAGAUUGUAACCUUACAGCUAGACUCCCUGGGUUCAAAU